AUGGCGACAGGGGAGGGCAGGGAAGCAACGCGGUCGGGGGUGGUGGCGAUGGGUGGAUCAACCGGUUGUAGUUGGCGGUUCAGUAGGAGGAAGAGACACGACAACGUUCAUGUCGAAUUUGGGAGAAUCAAGAAAGAAAGAAAAGAAGAGCGCUUCAAGGGUAAAAAGGUAGUUGCCGAUGCAUCCCAUCGUGCAACAUGCUCCACUUGUAGAUUUAUCUUCCCUAUGCAUUCAUCGGCUGAUACAUCUUGUACGUCAUCGACAAAGAGGAAUGUGUUUGCCUAUUUUGUUUUUCAUUUUAUGCUCUGGUGGAACGGUAAAGAAUUGGUCAAGCCGGUUUGCACGAAUGGGGUUUCCCUAAUCCCAGCCGACACCAUGCCACCCCGUCCUCCAGGCAGCCUCGGCCGCGGCCGCGGCCGCGGGCUCGGAUCCCCCGUCGCCAACCCCGUGCCAACCAGUCUCGGCGCCGGCGGCCGUCACCUUCCGCGCCACCGCGUACUGCACUUUGAUGUUCCCAUCAUCAACGGGCGAGAGAUUAUUUCAGUCGAUUCGAAUGGGCCACUCACCGCAGCUCGUUCUAGCUCGGACGACGGGCCAGUGAUCUUUGUGGACGUAGAUAUGGACGGGAGCUUCUUGACGGACCAUGAUAUUCCUGGCGAACCAUUUGAAAGCAUGGACCAACUCAUCCACGCGGCCAGUGUCCACUUGCUCGUCGCCUCCUGCUGUGAUCUGUCUCGAUAUGAGGGAGGCACUGCAUCUUCACAGAUGCCUGUUUCAGAACUCCAGCAUCUCCACUAUGAAGCAACCUGUGAUCAGCCGUAUGACCACUACGCCUCCUCUGUGUUAUUUAUUCCUAGUCUACUUGAUACCCAAUUGAUUUGUUUAUCGGUUCAUCCCCCAAAACCAUUUGUUGUUGUGCUGACCUUGCCUGCUUGUUUCCAUUCAGCUGCGAGGCGGAGGAUCAUGCGCCUGCAUGCUCACAAACACCACCUUGUGAAGUCAGUGUUUUGCAACAGGAAGCGGAAGAAAGUAGAUUUAUGGCAUGGACAGGACCUCUCAUCCUCGAAGGACUUGCUCAACACUAUAACAUUGCAGGAAUCAUCCACUGCGACUUCCUCGUCCUCUGUGCAGAUGCAGGCUCAGCCUUGGUGCUGUCUUUCAUCAUCACCUAUUUGGACAUUGGCCCAGUUUGAUUGGGGAAUCAUAUUUUUCACCAGGGUCGACCUGAAGGGUUCUUUCCACACAAAUCCUCAUGUGGGUGGGUCAUUUCAGAGCUUACAGGAUGCUUACAAUGCUAUCGACCUUUAUCUAAAGGAACAUCAGGAUCCAACAAUGUUCACUGGUGUUUCUCGACUGGAAAGGGUAGUAAGGCUAUCUCUUAACUAUCCUGAUGGCACAAGGAAGAAGCUUUUGGAAUCGCAACAAAUGGAUGAAAGGCGUGAUUGGAAGCGCCAGUUGGUUCAAACUUUGGUGGACAAGCAUAAUGAUUACCACCAUCUUUCAGGGGAUCUUGCAUAUGAACUCAAAGAUGUUGUGUGCUUGAAAUCAGUUGCUGGGGGCAAUGGCCAUAGGUACUAUCAUAUCAAUUUGACUAUGAAGACUAAAGGAGCUGAUGAUUCUAACUGUGGUGGCGGAGAUCUUUUCUUUGCUGAGUUCAAAAUCAAGGGGGGAGAAUAUGUAGAACUGGUGGUCAGCUGUUUCUGCAUGGUUGAACCUACUGACAACGGUAUCGUGUACUCUUCUUUUGACCUACAUAUCUUUCAAAUAUCUCAUCACUUAUCCUUGAGCGCAUUUGGAAUAUCUCAAACUGGUCCUUGUGGCAACCACCCCAACAAUUCUGCUGCAUAUACUGGCGCCAAAGCUAGCUCUCAGUGUGUAUGUUCUCUGUUUGGUAAUAUGGGAUUGCCGGUCCGCGACGAAAGCUUGGAAGAGGAGGAAAGAAGGGUAAGGCGUUUCUACGAGACCCAGGGUCUCGAUGAUCCGGAUUUCGUGGAGAAAGAGAGACCGAGGGCACAGAUACCAGUCAAACCAUUCAGCCCUGCUGAUUGUCAAAGCGAGCACAAACCAAACAACCAUGUCGCUUCCUUCAAGUUUUACCAGCAGGCUGCAGGUUUUGGGAUGGAUGGAUUGGCUUCCUAA
RNAcentral lists this ribosomal RNA (2139 nucleotides) under Triticum aestivum (bread wheat). RNAcentral's name for it is "partial small subunit ribosomal RNA". Lineage: Eukaryota; Viridiplantae; Streptophyta; Magnoliopsida; Poales; Poaceae. The record is from RNAcentral.